CGUACACUCCUACGGGAGGCAGCAGUGGGGAAUAUUGCACAAUGGGCGCAAGCCUGAUGCAGCCAUGCCGCGUGUAUGAAGAAGGCCUUCGGGUUGUAAAGUACUUUCAGCGGGGAGGAAGGCAAUACGGUUAAUAACCGUGUUGAUUGACGUUACCCGCAGAAGAAGCACCGGCUAACUCCGUGCCAGCAGCCGCGGUAAUACGGAGGGUGCAAGCGUUAAUCGGAAUUACUGGGCGUAAAGCGCACGCAGGCGGUCUGUCAAGUCGGAUGUGAAAUCCCCGGGCUCAACCUGGGAACUGCAUUCGAAACUGGCAGGCUUGAGUCUUGUAGAGGGGGGUAGAAUUCCAGGUGUAGCGGUGAAAUGCGUAGAGAUCUGGAGGAACACCGGUGGCGAAGGCGGCCCCCUGGACAAAGACUGACGCUCAGGUGCGAAAGCGUGGGGAGCAAACAGGAUUAGAUACCCCGGUAGUCCCAUGA
This 479-nucleotide ribosomal RNA is filed under the name uncultured organism. Its description in RNAcentral is "partial 16S ribosomal RNA". It matches the Rfam family "Bacterial small subunit ribosomal RNA", at positions 330 to 800 of the family's 1533-position model. The record is from RNAcentral.